This 384-nucleotide ribosomal RNA is filed under the name Triticum aestivum (bread wheat). RNAcentral describes it as "partial small subunit ribosomal RNA". Lineage: Eukaryota; Viridiplantae; Streptophyta; Magnoliopsida; Poales; Poaceae. The record is from RNAcentral.
AUGGGGAUUUUUAAAUUUCCUGCUUCUAUUUGUGAAGAGUUAUCCCAAAUCAUUAGGAAUUUUUGGUGGGGUGACCAGGAGGAUAGGAAGAAAACUCAUUGGCUAGCAUGGGAUAAGUUGACAAGACCCAAAGGAGAAGGAGGUAUGGGCUUUAGAGAUUUGAGAUUAUUUAAUCAAGCGCUUUUGGCGAAACAGGCUUGGCGUUUAUUGGUCUUUCCGGACUCGUUAUGUGUAAAGGUGAUGAAAGCAAAGUAUUAUCCUCAUGGGCAUUUGCUAGACACUGUAUUCCCUCAGGUGACAUCGACUACUUGGCAAGGUAUUAUGCAUGGUCUUGAGCUGCUGAAAAAGGGGUCAUUUGGAGAGUUCGCGACGGUGCAAAUAUAA